Molecule: long non-coding RNA, 212 nt
Filed under: Elaeis guineensis (African oil palm)
Lineage: Eukaryota; Viridiplantae; Streptophyta; Magnoliopsida; Arecales; Arecaceae
Description: long non-coding RNA (EGUI_LNC028078)
Source: RNAcentral
UCAGCACAAACAGUUCAUGCUACUGCCCUAUUCUUCAAGAUUUAGAAGAAGAUGAUCUAGAUCCAAGCAAAAGGAGCAAGGCCUACAAAGUACUAGCACUCUGAUGGCUUCGGCACUCUAAUUAGAUUAUCUUCGUAUCGAUAUCAAUAGAGGCCGGACGCUUGCACAGCUACGACAGAAACCCCGAGCAUCCGUAGGAUCUGAUCUGAGUA